AACGAACGCUGGCGGCAUGCCUAACACAUGCAAGUCGAACGAGAUCCUUCGGGGUCUAGUGGCGCACGGGUGCGUAACGCGUGGGAAUCUGCCCUUAGGUUCGGAAUAACAGUUAGAAAUGACUGCUAAUACCGGAUGAUGACGUUAAGUCCAAAGAUUUAUCGCCCGAGGAUGAGCCCGCGUAGGAUUAGCUAGUUGGUGUGGUAAAGGCGCACCAAGGCGACGAUCCUUAGCUGGUCUGAGAGGAUGAUCAGCCACACUGGGACUGAGACACGGCCCAGACUCCUACGGGAGGCAGCAGUGGGGAAUAUUGGACAAUGGGCGCAAGCCUGAUCCAGCAAUGCCGCGUGAGUGAUGAAGGCCUUAGGGUUGUAAAGCUCUUUUACCCGGGAUGAUAAUGACAGUACCGGGAGAAUAAGCCCCGGCUAACUCCGUG
Molecule: ribosomal RNA, 436 nt
Filed under: uncultured bacterium
Lineage: Bacteria
Description: partial 16S ribosomal RNA
Rfam family: Bacterial small subunit ribosomal RNA
Source: RNAcentral